GAUGAAGAACGCAGUGAAAUGCGAUAAGUAAUGUGAAUUGCAGAAUUCAGUGAAUCAUCGAAUCUUUGAACGCACAUUGCGCCCCUUGGUAUUCCGAGGGGCAUGCCUGUUCGAGCGUCAUUAUAACCCUCAAGCUCAGCUUGGUGUUGGGGCCUGCUGCACUGGCAGCCCUUAAAAUCAGUGGCGGCGCCAUCUGGCUCUAAGCGUAGUAAUUCUUCUCGCUAUGGAGUCCUGGUGGAUGCUUGCCAUCAACCCCCAAUUUUUCUAUGGUUGACCUCGGAUCAGGUAGGGAUACCCGCUGAACUUAAGCAUAUCAAUAAGCGGAGGA
Molecule: unclassified non-coding RNA, 328 nt
Filed under: soil metagenome
Description: partial contains 5.8S ribosomal RNA, internal transcribed spacer 2, and large subunit ribosomal RNA
Rfam family: 5.8S ribosomal RNA (bases 1-120)
Source: RNAcentral